This 610-nucleotide ribosomal RNA is filed under the name methanogen MEm2 associated with Eudiplodinium maggii. RNAcentral describes it as "bacterial SSU rRNA". It matches the Rfam family "Archaeal small subunit ribosomal RNA", at positions 268 to 878 of the family's 1478-position model. Lineage: Archaea; Methanobacteriati; Methanobacteriota; Methanobacteria; Methanobacteriales; Methanobacteriaceae. The record is from RNAcentral.
UACGGGUUGUGAGAGCAAGAGCCCGGAGAUGGAACCUGAGACAAGGUUCCCAGNGCUACNGGGCGCAGCAGGCGCGAAACCUCCGCAAUGUGAGAAAUCGUGACGGGGGGAUCCCAAGUGCCAUUCUUAACGGGAUGGCUUUUCAUUAGUGUAAAGAGCUUUUGGAAUAAGAGCUGGGCAAGACCGGUGCCAGCCGCCGCGGUAACACCGGCAGCUCUAGUGGUAACAAUUUUUAUUGGGCCUAAAGCCGUCGUAGCCGGUUUAAUAAGUCUCUGGUGAAAUCCUGUAGCUUAACUGUGGGAAUUGCUGGAGAUACUAUUAGACUUGAGACCGGGAGAGGUUAGAGGUACUCCCAGGGUAGAGGUGAAAUUCUGUAAUCCUGGGAGGACCGCCUGUUGCGAAGGCGUCUAACUGGAACGGUUCUGACGGUGAGGGACGAAAGUUAGGGGCGCGAACCGGAUUAGAUACCCGGGUAGUCCUAACUGUAAACGAUGCGGACUUGGUGUUGGGGUGGCUUUGAGCUGUCCCAGUGCCGAAGGGAAGCUGUUAAGUCCGCCGCCUGGGAAGUACGGUCGCAAGACUGAAACUUAAAGGAAUUGGCGGGGGAGCA